This 481-nucleotide ribosomal RNA is filed under the name uncultured bacterium. Its description in RNAcentral is "partial 16S ribosomal RNA". It matches the Rfam family "Bacterial small subunit ribosomal RNA", at positions 30 to 507 of the family's 1533-position model. The record is from RNAcentral.
AUUGAACGCUGGCGGCAUGCCUUACACAUGCAAGUCGAACGGUAACGGGCCUUCGGGUGCCGACGAGUGGCGAACGGGUGAGUAAUACAUCGGAACGUGCCCGAUCGUGGGGGAUAACGAGGCGAAAGCUUUGCUAUACCGCAUACGAUCUACGGAUGAAAGCAGGGGACCGCAAGGCCUUGCGCGGACGGAGCGGUCGAUGGCAGAUUAGGUAGUUGGUGGGAUAAAAGCUUACCAAGCCGACGAUCUGUAGCUGGUCUGAGAGGAUGAUCAGCCACACUGGGACUGAGACACGGCCCAGACUCCUACGGGAGGCAGCAGUGGGGAAUUUUGGACAAUGGGCGCAAGCCUGAUCCAGCCAUGCCGCGUGCAGGAUGAAGGCCUUCGGGUUGUAAACUGCUUUUGUACGGAACGAAAAGCCUUCUUUUAAUACAGGAGGGUCAUGACGGUACCGUAAGAAUAAGCACCGGCUAACUACGUG